UACGGAGGGUGCAAGCGUUAUCCGGAAUCACUGGGUUUAAAGGGUGCGUAGGCGGCCUGGUAAGUCAGGGGUGAAAGCUUCCCGCUCAACGGGAGAACUGCCCUUGAUACUGCCAGGCUCGAAUUGGGUUGAGGCCGGCGGAAUGUGGCAUGUAGCGGUGAAAUGCUUAGAUAUGCCAUAGAACACCGAUUGCGAAGGCAGCCGGCGAAGCCUUGAUUGACGCUGAGGCACGAAAGCGUGGGGAGCGAACAGG
RNAcentral lists this ribosomal RNA (253 nucleotides) under uncultured bacterium. Its description in RNAcentral is "partial 16S ribosomal RNA". It matches the Rfam family "Bacterial small subunit ribosomal RNA", at positions 524 to 776 of the family's 1533-position model. The record is from RNAcentral.